UGGUAUUUUCAUGAUGGGUGCAGGACUAUCUUGGUACCAUGGAGUCAUGGGAUUGCUUCAUCCUCAACCAAUAGAAUCCCUUCUAUGGGCAUAUUGUAUUUUAGCAGGAUCAUUAGUAUCUGAAGGAGCAACACUUCUUGUUGCUGUAAAUGAACUUCGUAGGAAUGCUCGGGCUAAAGGAAUGUCAUUUUACAAGUAUGUAAUGGAAAGUCGUGAUCCUAGUACAAAUGUGAUAUUAUUGGAGGAUACUGCUGCAGUCUUGGGAGUUAUAAUAGCAGCCACUUGCAUGGGCCUUACUUCUAUAACAGGGCAAUUCAUGAUGUUAAAGCCACAGAUCUGGGAUUAGGUAAAGUAAGAUUUAAGGCAGAAGUAGAUUUUGAUGGGCGAGUUGUUACAAGAUCAUAUUUGGAAAAACAAGAUUUUGACCAAAUGUUACAAGAAAUUCAAGAAGUGAAAACUCCUGAAGAACUAGAGACCUUUAUGCUUAAACAUGGAGAAAAUAUUAUUGAUACUUUAGGAGCUGAAGUAGAUAGACUUGAGAAGGAACUGAAAGUAAGAUGUAUUCAUAAAAAUAACAUAAUGAUAAUGGCAGCUAUUUUUUUGAGUACUUACUCUACAGCAGACACUAAGUGCAUCCAUCACAUGCAUGCUUUAACCCACUCAUAACUCCACAGUGUGUAGGUAUUUAUAAGCAAGAAAAUGACUGAGUUAGAUAAGUUGAAUAAUUUACCCAAGGAAAUAGGAAAAUUGUGAUUUGAACCAGAUUCUUUACUUUUAAACACUAUUUUAUGCAGUCUGCUUAGUUUCUAAAAUAGUCAAAGGGGGUUUUUUUGUUUGUUAAUAAAUAAGCAUUUUGAAAGUUCCUAGAGAAAGAUGAAAAGGAAACUUUAGACUCUGGUCAAAGUUAGAAAAAAUAGAAUGUAUAUUUUGCUUUUAGCCCAUUUGAAAUUAUUUUCUGUUUUUGUUUGUUUCUAUUCAGUUGGAUGUUAUUGUAAUUUAUUGAUUACGUUACUGAAAUAUUACCUGAUCCUGAUCAGGUUGUCUUUUAAAAUGUCUCAGUGUUCUCAAAUUGCCAUU
This 1077-nucleotide small RNA is filed under the name Pan troglodytes (chimpanzee). RNAcentral describes it as "retained intron". Lineage: Eukaryota; Metazoa; Chordata; Mammalia; Primates; Hominidae. The record is from RNAcentral.